CAGUAAAUAGCAAGGGUAAACAAGUAAUUGUUCGAUUGAUUGAUUGGGGGGUUUUAAGACAUAUAUGGGAAACGUUAGACUUAGGGUUUCUAUUCAAACAAUCAUGAUUGUAGAGAUAUAGAUUACUAAGCAUAUAUGGAUAUUCUAGAACUCAAACAAUAAGAAUAGCCGAUCAACUUCCGUAUAUUUAGACUAUCUAUCGCCGGAUCUAAGACCUACCGGAUCUAAGACCUCAGCUGUCGCUUGUUGGUCCUGAGAAAGUGUCGAUCGAUUCCAACAACGGGGUGUCGAUCGAUACACCUUUCAGCC
This 309-nucleotide long non-coding RNA is filed under the name Brassica napus (rape). RNAcentral describes it as "long non-coding RNA (BNAP_LNC012319)". The record is from RNAcentral. Lineage: Eukaryota; Viridiplantae; Streptophyta; Magnoliopsida; Brassicales; Brassicaceae.